Molecule: ribosomal RNA, 300 nt
Filed under: Triticum aestivum (bread wheat)
Lineage: Eukaryota; Viridiplantae; Streptophyta; Magnoliopsida; Poales; Poaceae
Description: partial small subunit ribosomal RNA
Source: RNAcentral
AUGAAUCAUCUUAGUUGGAACUGCCGGGGGGCGGGGAACUCCUGGACAGUUCGAGACCUAAGUACUUUGGUACCAGCACACUCCCCCAUGUUGGUUUUCUUGUGUGAAACCAGACAAUCCAAAGUAAAAAAGAGAUACAGAUCAAGACUAGGACUAAAAGGAUUUGAUGCAGUGGAUAGCAAUGGAAAUAGUGGAGGUCUACCACUGUUUUGGCAUGAAUCAUUGACUGUACAUAUCUUGCUUGCAAAUGAGCAUUGUAUUGAUGUUACAAUUGCAGCCGGACUUAAUGACCCACUGUGA